RNAcentral lists this ribosomal RNA (103 nucleotides) under Trebouxia sp. 2 GS-2016. Its description in RNAcentral is "partial large subunit ribosomal RNA". It matches the Rfam family "Eukaryotic large subunit ribosomal RNA", at positions 1 to 99 of the family's 3401-position model. Lineage: Eukaryota; Viridiplantae; Chlorophyta; Trebouxiophyceae; Trebouxiales; Trebouxiaceae. The record is from RNAcentral.
UUUCGACCUGAGGUCAGGCAAGAACACCCGCUGAACUUAAGCAUAUCAAUAAGCGGAGGAAAAAGAAAACUAACUAGGAUUUCCCUUUAGUAGCGGGCGAAGC